RNAcentral lists this long non-coding RNA (620 nucleotides) under Callithrix jacchus (white-tufted-ear marmoset). Its description in RNAcentral is "lncRNA (ENSCJAG00000080108.1)". The record is from RNAcentral. Lineage: Eukaryota; Metazoa; Chordata; Mammalia; Primates; Cebidae.
AGGCUGGAGACUUGGGGACUGGGGACUCGGGGACUGGGGGACUUGGGGGAAGGACGGGGGCGGGAGGAGUGAAGCGAGCUCUGCUAAGAAACCAAAUCCGCAGAGGUUCCAUCACCUGAUAAGACUCGGUACCUGAGCCCCAGGCAGGUGGUGUCCUCAAGGGCAGGGGUGGACAGAGUGGUGGACCCACUGACCCUCCCCUGACACCUGUCAGGUCAUCCUCAAGUCGGCUGUGCCUUCAGGGGGAUAUGAAGGGAAGCCAAGGUUCCUUUUCCUUCACACACCCCACUCCUUUGUUUAGUGUGGGGGCAAAGGUCUCUCCUGGCCGUUCACUGGGAUCUAACAAAGAAGACGCCAGCCCCAGGAGAGAAAGUCACCACUUGGCAUUUCCUGGAGAAGGAAGCCAAGGCACAGAAUGGUUAAGCGGCUUGUUUGAACUGCGUGCCACUGAGACCUUCACGCCAGAGCCUGCUCGCAUAAUCCCUGAGCCACGCUGCCUCUCCUUUCAGCCAGGGGCUGUGUCAUUCCCUUUGUGCUCCAGGAUAGAGGAAAGCGUACAGACUGGUACCCCAGGAGCCGCUGCUCAGGAAAGCCCGGCAGGAAAUGCGUGUUGGGACUGA